GACGAACGCUGGCGGCGUGCUUAACACAUGCAAGUCGAACGGAGAGGCCCCUUUGGGGGUCCUCGAGUGGCGAACGGGUGAGUAACACGUGAGUAACCUGCCCUUGACUUCGGGAUAACUUCAGGAAACUGGGGCUAAUACCGGAUAGGAAUCCUUGCUGCAUGGUGGGGGUUGGAAAGCUUCGGCGGUUUUGGAUGGACUCGCGGCUUAUCAGCUUGUUGGUGGGGUAGUGGCUUACCAAGGCUUUGACGGGUAGCCGGCCUGAGAGGGCGACCGGCCACAUUGGGACUGAGAUACGGCACAGACUCCUACGGGAGGGAGCAGUGGGGAAUAUUGCACAAUGGGCGGCAGCCUGAUGCAGCAACGCCGCGGGCGGGAUGACGGCCUUCGGGUUGUAAACCGAUUUCAGCAGGGGCGAAGCUUGUGGUGACGGUACCUGCAGAAGAAGCAACGGCUAACUACGUG
RNAcentral lists this ribosomal RNA (465 nucleotides) under uncultured bacterium. Its description in RNAcentral is "partial 16S ribosomal RNA". It matches the Rfam family "Bacterial small subunit ribosomal RNA", at positions 28 to 507 of the family's 1533-position model. The record is from RNAcentral.